This 938-nucleotide long non-coding RNA is filed under the name Numida meleagris (helmeted guineafowl). Its description in RNAcentral is "lncRNA (ENSNMEG00000001458.1)". Lineage: Eukaryota; Metazoa; Chordata; Aves; Galliformes; Numididae. The record is from RNAcentral.
GUUUUUCUACUUUUGGUUUAAUUAUAAUGUGGAUCACUUGAUUAAUUAAAUAAGUUCCUGUAGACUUCCCCCACCCUUACCCUGAGGAAGUCUCCUAUUAUUCUUUCUGGAUGAUUAUUAUUUGUGUUUUAGACCUAUAAGAGAUAUAGCUUCUUCAGAACUGUCUUUGUUGGUAAGUUUCAACUAUUCAUCAUUUCAUGUGUUAACAUAUGCCAAUAGCUAUCUACAUCACUUGGCUAGAUCAGCAGUCAGAAGAGCCAUGUAGUCUUAAGUCAAUUAUAAACAAUGUGGUUUUUUUCCUCUCUCUCUCUCCUUUUUUUUUUUUCCCUCUUUUAAAUGACCUUUUAUAACUAUUUGCUCUCCAACAGGAUGAUUAUACGAGGCUGAAGAUGAAGUUUGUCUUAUGUGGCUAGAGCCAACAUCUAAUCAAAUGUUGUGAUUUGCAGCAGAGUCAGUCAAGGACAAAUUGGAUUAAACAGUUAUGUCAGAUCAAGGGAGGAGCACCAUCGGCAUCAAACAACAGGCUGUUAGAAAGGAAGCAAUGCAACAGCAUCAAGCUUGGCAAGUGGAACCUCCAGGAAACCAAAGCAUUUUGUGCUUUAUAGAUCGACACCACAUCGACCCUUCUGAGGUUUCCUUUUCAUUUUGCAAGAACGAACGCGGAGAGAUUUAUACCUGGGAAUAUCACUUGACACAAAAAUGGAUAGUGGAUAUAAUUAUAUAUAAAAGCUCCCCUGUUACAGAAAAAAAUAAGGUCUUUAAUAACCUAGUUUGUGGGCUAUAGAAGGAAAACAAAGGCAGUAUACUCAUAAGCCAGACAGAGGAGAUGCUUUCUACUAUUGCUAUUGAUUAGUAACUAAGGCAAUGCUCUGAAAAGGUCUGAUAUAAAUGUAAUACAGGGAGUAACUGAAUGAGCUCAUCACAGGAUGCAUGAUCUA